This 201-nucleotide ribosomal RNA is filed under the name Triticum aestivum (bread wheat). RNAcentral describes it as "partial small subunit ribosomal RNA". The record is from RNAcentral. Lineage: Eukaryota; Viridiplantae; Streptophyta; Magnoliopsida; Poales; Poaceae.
AUGUCAUGCAGCUGCGUCUCCGGCCCGCCCAGGACGAAAAGCCCAUUUUCUGUCAUGAUUUUUUGUCAUAGAAUGAGGGCCACCAUCAUUAAAGGUUGGAGCAACUUCUUCCGUCAGGCAUACAUGAACAAAGGGCAAGCAUAUGCUUUCACCUUCAAAUGCACUUCCAAGGGACGGCGCCUGACCGUCUACUCAAUAUAA